GACGAACGCUGGCGGCGUGCUUAACACAUGCAAGUCGAACGGAAAGGCCCUGCUUUUGUGGGGUGCUCGAGUGGCGAACGGGUGAGUAACACGUGAGUAACCUGCCCUUGACUUUGGGAUAACUUCAGGAAACUGGGGCUAAUACCGGAUAGGAGCUCCUGCUGCAUUGUGGGGGUUGGAAAGUUUCGGCGGUUGGGGAUGGACGCGCGGCUUAUCAGCUUGUUGGUGGGGUAGUGGCUUACCAAGGCUUUGACGGGUAGCCGGCCUGAGAGGGUGACCGGCCACCUUGGGACUGAGAUACGGCCCAGACUCCUACGGGAGGCAGCAGUGGGGAAUAUUGCACAAUGGGCGGAAGCCUGAUGCAGCAACGCCGCGUGCGGGAUGAGGGCCUUCGGGUUGUAAACCGCUUUCGCCUGUGACGAAGCGUGAGUGACGGUAAUGAGUAAAGAAGCACCGGCUAACUACGUG
Molecule: ribosomal RNA, 468 nt
Filed under: uncultured bacterium
Lineage: Bacteria
Description: partial 16S ribosomal RNA
Rfam family: Bacterial small subunit ribosomal RNA
Source: RNAcentral